Molecule: ribosomal RNA, 490 nt
Filed under: uncultured bacterium
Lineage: Bacteria
Description: partial 16S ribosomal RNA
Rfam family: Bacterial small subunit ribosomal RNA
Source: RNAcentral
AUUGAACGCUGGCGGCAGGCCUAACACAUGCAAGUCGAACGGUAACAGGAAGAAGCUUGCUUCUUUGCUGACGAGUGGCGGACGGGUGAGUAAUGUCUGGGAAACUGCCUGAUGGAGGGGGAUAACUACUGGAAACGGUAGCUAAUACCGCAUAACGUCGCAAGACCAAAGAGGGGGACCUUCGGGCCUCUUACCAUCGGAUGUGCCCAGAUGGGAUUAGCUAGUAGGUGGGGUAACGGCUCACCUAGGCGACGAUCCCUAGCUGGUCUGAGAGGAUGACCAGCCACACUGGAACUGAGACACGGUCCAGACUCCUACGGGAGGCAGCAGUGGGGAAUAUUGCACAAUGGGCGCAAGCCUGAUGCAGCCAUGCCGCGUGUAUGAAGAAGGCCUUCGGGUUGUAAAGUACUUUCAGCGGGGAGGAAGGGAGUAAAGUUAAUACCUUUGCUGAUUGACGUUACCCGCAGAAGAAGCACCGGCUAACUCCGUG